GCCGUCCGAUCAUAGGAGUAAGAAGAGUUUAAAGGUCCUCUCUUCUCAUUCGAUGGAGUGCUCUUAUGAUGUGUAGAAGUGCCAAGUAAUUAAAUUUCAUGAAGAAAAAUAUGAAAAGAAGAACUUAUUUUUCUAUAAAAUCUUAGAUCUUGAAAUUUUAGAUUUGUUGUAUGUGAUAUAAAGUUGUAUGAAAUGUAAGACAUCUAAUCUAUG
RNAcentral lists this long non-coding RNA (213 nucleotides) under Elaeis guineensis (African oil palm). Its description in RNAcentral is "long non-coding RNA (EGUI_LNC058572)". Lineage: Eukaryota; Viridiplantae; Streptophyta; Magnoliopsida; Arecales; Arecaceae. The record is from RNAcentral.